RNAcentral lists this ribosomal RNA (253 nucleotides) under uncultured bacterium. RNAcentral describes it as "partial 16S ribosomal RNA". It matches the Rfam family "Bacterial small subunit ribosomal RNA", at positions 524 to 776 of the family's 1533-position model. The record is from RNAcentral.
UACGUAGGGACCGAGCGUUGUCCGGAAUCAUUGGGCGUAAAGAGCUCGUAGGUGGUUUGUCGCGUUGUUCGUGAAAACUCACAGCUCAACUGUGGGCGUGCGGGCGAUACGGGCAGACUGGAGUACUGCAGGGGAGACUGGAAUUCCUGGUGUAGCGUUGGAAUGCGCAGAUAUCAGGAGGAACACCGGUGGCGAAGGCGGGUCUCUGGGCAGUAACUGACGCUGAGGAGCGAAGGCCAGGGGAGCAAACGGG